RNAcentral lists this ribosomal RNA (502 nucleotides) under uncultured bacterium. RNAcentral describes it as "bacterial SSU rRNA". It matches the Rfam family "Bacterial small subunit ribosomal RNA", at positions 9 to 526 of the family's 1533-position model. The record is from RNAcentral.
GAGUUUGAUCCUGGCUCAGGACGAACGCUGGCGGCGUGCCUAACACAUGCAAGUCGAACGGGGAUAUUGAUUUCGGUUGAUAUCCUAGUGGCGAACGGGUGAGUAACGCGUGAGCAACCUGACCUUUUGAGGGGGAUAACACCUGGAAACAAGUGCUAAUACCGCAUAAGACCACGGAGCGGCAUCGUUCAGGGGUCAAAGGAGGAAUCCGCAGAAGGAGGGGCUCGCGUCCCAUUAGAUAGUAGGCGGGGUAACGGCCCACCUAGUCGACGAUGGGUAGCCGAGCUGAGAGGCUGAUCGGCCACACUGGAACUGAGACACGGUCCAGACUCCUACGGGAGGCAGCAGUGGGGAAUAUUGCACAAUGGGGGAAACCCUGAUGCAGCGACGCCGCGUGAAGGAAGAAGUAUCUCGGUAUGUAAACUUCUAUCAGCAGGGAAGAUAGUGACGGUACCUGACUAAGAAGCCCCGGCUAACUACGUGCCAGCCGCCGCGGUAAUUC